RNAcentral lists this ribosomal RNA (490 nucleotides) under uncultured bacterium. Its description in RNAcentral is "partial 16S ribosomal RNA". It matches the Rfam family "Bacterial small subunit ribosomal RNA", at positions 30 to 507 of the family's 1533-position model. The record is from RNAcentral.
AUUGAACGCUGGCGGCAGGCCUAACACAUGCAAGUCGAACGGUAACAGGAAACAGCUUGCUGUUUCGCUGACGAGUGGCGGACGGGUGAGUAAUGUCUGGGAAACUGCCUGAUGGAGGGGGAUAACUACUGGAAACGGUAGCUAAUACCGCAUAACGUCGCAAGACCAAAGAGGGGGACCCUCGGGCCUCUUGCCAUCGGAUGUGCCCAGAUGGGAUUAGCUUGUUGGUGGGGUAACGGCUCACCAAGGCGACGAUCCCUGGCUGGUCUGAGAGGAUGACCAGCCACACUGGAACUGAGACACGGUCCAGACUCCUACGGGAGGCAGCAGUGGGGAAUAUUGCACAAUGGGCGCAAGCCUGAUGCAGCCAUGCCGCGUGUAUGAAGAAGGCCUUCGGGUUGUAAAGUACUUUCAGCGGGGAGGAAGGGAGUAAAGUUAAUACCUUUGCUCAUUGACGUUACCCGCAGAAGAAGCACCGGCUAACUCCGUG